RNAcentral lists this long non-coding RNA (259 nucleotides) under Homo sapiens (human). RNAcentral describes it as "non-protein coding lnc-ZNF785-1:1". The record is from RNAcentral. Lineage: Eukaryota; Metazoa; Chordata; Mammalia; Primates; Hominidae.
CAGUUUUGGUUAUGAGCAAGGUGAGUCUCAGAGGUGGUCUUGGCGACCAGAUGGAGAUGAAGUUCUAGAUGCACUGAAACAAGCUCUAGACAGUAGCAUGCAGCCCAAUAACUGUACCAGCAUCCCCAGCCUCUGGAUUCCAUGUUUCUGCUCCUGUAGCCUCCAUGGGUGCAUAAGCUUGUGGUUUACUUGGACCUCUGCCUCAUCUUUCUUCUUUUGCGCUUCAGCCUGCGCAUUCGCUUCCUCCACUAGGCUCUCA